CGACUAAGCGUACACGGUGGAUGCCUUGGCAGUCAGAGGCGAUGAAGGACGUGCUAAUCUGCGAUAAGCGCCGGUAAGGUGAUAUGAACCGUUAUAACCGGCGAUUUCCGAAUGGGGAAACCCAGUGUGACUCGUCACACUAUCAUUAACUGAAUCCAUAGGUUAAUGAGGCGAACCGGGGGAACUGAAACAUCUAAGUACCCCGAGGAAAAGAAAUCAACCGAGAUUCCCCCAGUAGCGGCGAGCGAACGGGGAGGAGCCCAGAGCCUGAAUCAGCAUGUGUGUUAGUGGAAGCGUCUGGAAAGGCGCGCGAUACAGGGUGACAGCCCCGUACACAAAACGCAUGUGCUGUGAGCUCGAUGAGUAGGGCGGGACACGUGGUAUCCUGUCUGAAUAUGGGGGGACCAUCCUCCAAGGCUAAAUACUCCUGACUGACCGAUAGUGAACCAGUACCGUGAGGGAAAGGCGAAAAGAACCCCGGCGAGGGGAGUGAAAAAGAACCUGAAACCGUGUACGUACAAGCAGUGGGAGCCCCACCACCAAAGCAUUCUCUGGUGUUGAAGGCCCUGCAAAGCAGCAUCGCGGUGGCGGAGCGUCGUUUGCGACGCCCAACACACAAAACAAGCGGUGAGUGCUUUGGGGUGGGGUGACUGCGUACCUUUUGUAUAAUGGGUCAGCGACUUAUAUUCUGUAGCAAGGUUAACCGCAUAGGGGAGCCGUAGGGAAACCGAGUCUUAACCGGGCGUUAAGUUGCAGGGUAU
Molecule: ribosomal RNA, 761 nt
Filed under: Salmonella enterica
Lineage: Bacteria; Pseudomonadati; Pseudomonadota; Gammaproteobacteria; Enterobacterales; Enterobacteriaceae
Description: partial 23S ribosomal RNA
Rfam family: Bacterial large subunit ribosomal RNA
Source: RNAcentral